This 532-nucleotide ribosomal RNA is filed under the name uncultured Ascomycota. Its description in RNAcentral is "LSU rRNA". It matches the Rfam family "Eukaryotic large subunit ribosomal RNA", at positions 700 to 1236 of the family's 3401-position model. Lineage: Eukaryota; Fungi; Ascomycota. The record is from RNAcentral.
UGUCAAGCCCGAGCGCGUAAUGAAAGUGAACGGAGGUGGGAACCUUUUAGGUGCACCAUCGACCGAUCCUGAUGUCUUCGGAUGGAUUUGAGUAAGAGCAUAGCUGUUGGGACCCGAAAGAUGGUGAACUAUGCCUGAAUAGGGUGAAGCCAGAGGAAACUCUGGUGGAGGCUCGCAGCGGUUCUGACGUGCAAAUCGAUCGUCAAAUUUGGGCAUAGGGGCGAAAGACUAAUCGAACUAUCUAGUAGCUGGUUCCUGCCGAAGUUUCCCUCAGGAUAGCAGUAACGUUUUCAGUUUUAUGAGGUAAAGCGAAUGAUUAGAGGCCUGGGGGUUGAAACAACCUUCACCUAUUCUCAAACUUUAAAUAUGUAAGAAGUCCUUGUUUCUUAAUUGAACGUGGACAUUUGAAUGUAUCGUUACUAGUGGGCCAUUUUUGGUAAGCAGAACUGGCGAUGCGGGAUGAACCGAACGCGGGGUUAAGGUGCCAGAAUGCACGCUCAUCAGACACCACAAAAGGUGUUGGUUCAUCUAG